This 306-nucleotide long non-coding RNA is filed under the name Androctonus crassicauda. The record is from RNAcentral. Lineage: Eukaryota; Metazoa; Arthropoda; Arachnida; Scorpiones; Buthidae.
UGGCACCAUCUUGUAAUUAAUAAUUAGAUUAAUUUUCCCAAAAUAAAAUUUUGCCACUGCAUCUGAAUCAAACUAGGAUCUUUGGUCUAGCAUUGCAAUGCUUUAUCAUUUAAAUUUCUGUGCAUCCAGUAGAAUUCCAUUUUGGGAAGCUUAUGUAACAAUCAGAUUGGAAACUUGUUGGACUAGUGCAACAUUAAUGUUCUCAAGUGGAUUCUUGAAAACAGUUAUUGUUACAAUAAACUUUUUAAUUUUUCAAAAAUUAUUAUUAUUAUUAUUAUUGUAUUUGAUAAAUACAGUAUAGCAGUG